GAAAUGCGAUAAGUAAUGCGAAUUGCAGAAUUCAGUGAAUCAUCGAAUCUUUGAACGCACAUUGCGCCCGCCAGUAUUCUGGCAGGCAUGCCUGUCUGAGCGUCAUUUCAACCCCUCGCACCCGGCUCGCGCCUGCGCGGCCCCGGGGCGGUGUUGGAGAUCGGCCGCCCCUCGCGGGGUGGCCGGCUCCCAAAUCCAGUGGCGACCACGCCGUAGCCUCCUCUGCGUAGUAGUUUAACUCACCUCGCGGGUCGGAGAGCGGCGCCGGUCCUGCCGUGAAACCCCCAACUUUCCAAGGUUGACCUCAGAUCAGGUAGGAAUACCCGCUGAACUUAA
This 336-nucleotide unclassified non-coding RNA is filed under the name uncultured Hydropisphaera. RNAcentral describes it as "sequence contains ITS1". The stretch from base 1 to 105 matches the Rfam family "5.8S ribosomal RNA", at positions 50 to 154 of the family's 154-position model. The record is from RNAcentral. Lineage: Eukaryota; Fungi; Ascomycota; Sordariomycetes; Hypocreales; Bionectriaceae.